RNAcentral lists this ribosomal RNA (406 nucleotides) under uncultured bacterium. RNAcentral's name for it is "partial 16S ribosomal RNA". It matches the Rfam family "Bacterial small subunit ribosomal RNA", at positions 30 to 526 of the family's 1533-position model. The record is from RNAcentral.
AUUGAACGCUGGCGGCAGGCCUAACACAUGCAAGUCGAACGAGUGGCGGACGGGUGAGUAAUGUCUGGGACACUGCCUGAUGGAGGGGGAUAACUACUGGAAACGGUAGCUAAUACCGCAUACCAUCAGAUGUUCCCAGAUGGGAUUAGCUUGUUGGUGGGGUAACGGCGCACCAAGGCGACGAUCCCUAGCUGGUCUGAGAGGAUGACCAGACAACCGGGAACUGUGACACGGUCCAGAGUCCUACGGGAGGCAGCAGUGGGGAAUAUUGGACAAUGGGCGCAAGCCUGAUGCGGCCAUGCCGCGUGUAUGAAGAAGGCCUUCGGGUUGUAAAGUACUUUCAGCGGGGAGGCGUUACCCGCAGAAGAAGCACCGGCUAACUCCGUGCCAGCCGCCGCGGUAAUAC